AAGAAUCUCUUUCGUAGAAUUGAAAGAAUUUUCUAUUGGAUGGAAAAUAAUUUUACAUCAACGAACUAAGUAAAGGAAAAAAGAAAUUAUUUAGUACUUGUGUUUUGCCUAUGUACGUCAUCCAUACAUUAUCAGGAUCCGAAUUCUCCAAAAUGGGACCGAAUCCAAUCUGUUCAGGCUUAUAACUUUUGCCUAUAAACCCUAAAUGCAUUCCUGCAAAUGGUGCACCUUUACUUUGUCUCCGCCGCCUAACUAAGAAGAAAAAAUGGCUGAUCAACAGUAUUGUACCUCUCGUGUUCGGCCUGAACAUGAUCCCAUGGCUAUGGAGGGUAAGAUUGACAAAUUAAACAAUGAUUUGCUUAUAGCCAUUCUUUCAUAUUUACAAUGAUGUAUUUAUUUUGUAUAACUACUCUUAGAAAGGCUUAUGACUUGUACUACCGGUUUUGGGAAUUGUAAUUUAUUCCGAGUAAUUUAAUUUAAAGUUAGUAAAUAUCCAUGUUAUUUCAGUUAAUGUUAGGCUUACCUAGUUUAGAGAAUAGGUGCCUUCACGACUCCUUCGGAGGGAUUUUGGGUCGUGACAUGUUGAAAGUGUUUCCAAGUCAUAUAACUUGGAAGAGUUCUCAAUAACCUCUUUCUGAAACCAAAAGAUGGCCGAUCACUUAUGCGCAGAUGUCUCAACCUUACCAUGUUCCAAAUGGUGUCUAGUAGCUUCACUUCCCCACAUAAUCCUGUAAUCAAAAGUGUUUCUAGGUAUGCCAGUUUGUCUAUCCAACUGGGAAUAGAAGUUGCACCUAUUCGAACAGCUAAUAUGGCAAAUGGAUUUGCAGUUUUAUUUCAGUUAGAAAGUUAUCCUAGAAGUUGACGCGCUCCAAAUCUAGCACUUUAAGAAGUCUGAAGCAUACAAGAAAUGAGAGAGAUUUUCCCAUUGGCUUUCUGUCAUUGGCUACUGUGAGUAGUAGAGAGCAAACAGGGACGCCAAGUGGCGGUGUAAUUAAGGCAAAUGUGCUAUUAUAACAUAACGAUAUCGGAUGUUGCUCCAGAUCUUGGAAGCCAAAACUGGGAUAACCCUUUCAUUUAUGUUUUAACUAUUUGCUUGAUGUUUGAAUCUGUGUUUUUUAAAAUCUUAUACGGCUAACAUUUGAUUCUAAUGAUUAUUGAUGGUAACUAGUUCAGUCAAUGUCUCUUGGUUCUUGAAGAAGCAAGUUAGUGCUACACGAAGUGUUGGCCAUAAUUUCUCAGGAAUCAAGAGGAGACUUCUCCCACAGUGAAAUGAUAUUCUAACUUGCUCAAAAGAUUGUACUUCUGAUAGUGAUUGCACUGACUGCUGGUUUUGUUGUCGAUUUGAUGUGUCUAUUAUAUCAUGUGUAUUUUAGGGUAGUCGCAAAUAGAACAUCCAUUUAAUUGCGACGAACUUUGCAACACAUCCCUGUUAUUCAUUUGUGUCUCCGUUUGAUUCUUGUGUUUCUUAGUUCCUUGUCUUUCAUUCUUUGUACCAAUAAAUAUAAAAUAAGCCAACUGAAUUGUUGGUAAUGAUGUCUCACUAAUUUGAACAAUGAAUUUGUAUGCAUAAGGGUGGCAUCUACAGAUAUCAUAGGCAGCGGCAAGGGUGCAUGCCAAAGCAAAAGGUAUAGACUAUGGUCACAUCAAAUAAAAGCCACACAAAUAAUGCUCAAAUUAUAACAAACAUAACCAAUCUCGACAUGAUUGAGCAACUUGAAGUGGAGAAACGGAAUAUUUGAAGAAUGUUUACCAGAAAUUAAAUGUACAAUGAUUACAUUUCCAAAAGAAGUAAAACCAAAGAAAUCAGUAACUUCCCACGGAGUCUAUAAUAUUUCAACAUUUGAAUUACAAUCAAAGAUAUGGUUGGAAUUAAUCAUCACUAAAGACUCUCUCUCUAUCUAGCUUUAGAAGAUACAAAACAAACAAACACUUUGACAGAAGUAUCAUUAUGUAUCAAAUGUUGACAUUAACGUAAAGAGAAUUACAAGAGUAGUGAGAGAAUAUACGAGUCCAGCACUACUAUUCACCUUCUAUGCAAUCAAGCCACUCUCUUUUUAUCACAACCAUAUAUCCUCUUGACUUUAUGAUGCAAUUAUUCUUUUUUACUUACACAGUCAAUUUCUCAAUUUGCAUCCAUUCUUUUCACAAUUGUUCCAAUUAUUUUACUUGGUUAUAAACAGAUCUUUCAAUUUAAGUGUAUCUGGUUCUGAAAACCAUCAGGUUAUUACUUACUUAUUAGUUACUUUGAUCACUUUUAAGACCUGGUAUUGAGUGAUCUCAUGAGCUUUUCUUGGUCAGUGAGUGUGUGACGGAAAUGGCAGCGAUGACCGUAAGGACAGGGAUCACCAUUGAGGACCAUUCGGCAUACCUCAGUUUUGUAGCGGGGGUGGCGAAGGA
RNAcentral lists this long non-coding RNA (2397 nucleotides) under Nicotiana tabacum (common tobacco). Its description in RNAcentral is "long non-coding RNA (NTAB_LNC001412)". The record is from RNAcentral. Lineage: Eukaryota; Viridiplantae; Streptophyta; Magnoliopsida; Solanales; Solanaceae.